CAUAGGUUAAUGAGGCGAACCGGGGGAACUGAAACAUCUAAGUACCCCGAGGAAAAGAAAUCAACCGAGAUUCCCCCAGUAGCGGCGAGCGAACGGGGAGCAGCCCAGAGCCUGAAUCAGUGUGUGUGUUAGUGGAAGCGUCUGGAAAGGCGCGCGAUACAGGGUGACAGCCCCGUACACAAAAAUGCACAUACUGUGAGCUCGAUGAGUAGGGCGGGACACGUGGUAUCCUGUCUGAAUAUGGGGGGACCAUCCUCCAAGGCUAAAUACUCCUGACUGACCGAUAGUGAACCAGUACCGUGAGGGAAAGGCGAAAAGAACCCCGGCGAGGGGAGUGAAAAAGAACCUGAAACCGUGUACGUACAAGCAGUGGGAGCACGCUUAGGCGUGUGACUGCGUACCUUUUGUAUAAUGGGUCAGCGACUUAUAUUCUGUAGCAAGGUUAACCGAAUAGGGGAGCCGAAGGGAAACCGAGUCUUAACUGGGCGUUAAGUUGCAGGGUAUAGACCCGAAACCCGGUGAUCUAGCCAUGGGCAGGUUGAAGGUUGGGUAACACUAACUGGAGGACCGAACCGACUAAUGUUGAAAAAUUAGCGGAUGACUUGUGGCUGGGGGUGAAAGGCCAAUCAAACCGGGAGAUAGCUGGUUCUCCCCGAAAGCUAUUUAGGUAGCGCCUCGUGAAUUCAUCUCCGGGGGUAGAGCACUGUUUCGGCAAGGGGGUCAUCCCGACUUACCAACCCGAUGCAAACUGCGAAUACCGGAGAAUGUUAUCACGGGAGACACACGGCGGGUGCUAACGUCCGUCGUGAAGAGGGAAACAACCCAGACCGCCAGCUAAGGUCCCAAAGUCAUGGUUAAGUGGGAAACGAUGUGGGAAGGCCCAGACAGCCAGGAUGUUGGCUUAGAAGCAGCCAUCAUUUAAAGAAAGCGUAAUAGCUCACUGGUCGAGUCGGCCUGCGCGGAAGAUGUAACGGGGCUAAACCAUGCACCGAAGCUGCGGCAGCGACGCUGAUGCGUUGUUGGGUAGGGGAGCGUUCUGUAAGCCUGUGAAGGUGUGCUGUG
Molecule: ribosomal RNA, 1062 nt
Filed under: Escherichia coli
Lineage: Bacteria; Pseudomonadati; Pseudomonadota; Gammaproteobacteria; Enterobacterales; Enterobacteriaceae
Description: partial 23S ribosomal RNA
Rfam family: Bacterial large subunit ribosomal RNA
Source: RNAcentral